Molecule: non-coding RNA, 861 nt
Organism: Kogia breviceps (pygmy sperm whale)
Lineage: Eukaryota; Metazoa; Chordata; Mammalia; Artiodactyla; Physeteridae
Source: RefSeq, a predicted model, not a curated record
UGCUCCCACACUUGCCGGUUUAAGUCGGCCUCUAUCUACAGUUGACCCUGGUCUGACCUCGCUCUCUGGAAUGCUCUGCCUGCCUCUGACUUUCAAGGCAUGUCAACAUGCACUCCGAUGGCAUUCCUGAAGGGAUCUCUUUCUCCUGAGCUCUUGAAAGAAUCCUGCUUCAGCAACUCCCAGGAAGACAGAUGGAUUCUCAUAGCUGCGUCUGCAUUCAGCGUGUGGUGACAUCACAUAUCGUGUAGCCUUCCGGAAACCCCGCUGUGCACUUAUGAGAGAACAAGAGUGAAAAAGAGAAAGAAGGGAUGGCUUCUGUCUCGACAACUCCUCCAGCCUCUGUCACUGCGGGAGCUCACCCGUCCUCACCUCGACACGGCUGGUGUAGAGACUUCGCCGCCGCCAGCCUCCCUGCACUCACGCCGCCGCUAAGAAGCAGGCACGAGGCUCUGUAGGCCUCCAUCUUUCUCUCCCAUCUUCCAGGGACCCAGGCCACGUUCCCAACAACCUUCCCGCUGGCUCUGCUCAGCCACCCUGGGUCGCUCCUGAGAGUCUUCCCAGCACAACCAAGCUUCCAGCCAGGGCCAGGGACCUAAUUUUCAGGACCCAGUGCAAAAUGGAAAUGAAGGGUCCUUUGUUCCAAAAGCAAGAAAGAGUACAGUUAAAGGCACUAAGCUAUAAAGCUUUUUCCUUUAAAAAUGUUUUAUUAGUUAUAAAAUGUGGACAAGAAAGCUACAUGAGUAGCAAUGUAGCUUACAAAUAGCAAAAAAUACCAUUCUGGGGUCAUAAUUUUAUCUAAUGCAAUAAUUUGCUAAUGUGAUAUCUUGAUUGAUCAUUAGGAUUUUUUGGCUCACUUUUCUG